GAUGAACGCUGGCGGCGUGCUUAACACAUGCAAGUCGAACGGAAAGGCUCCUGCUUGCAGCGGUACUCGAGUGGCGAACGGGUGAGUAACACGUGGGUGAUCUGCCCUGCACUUCGGGAUAAGCCUGGGAAACUGGGUCUAAUACCGGAUCGGUCGAUGGUUUGGAUGCCCUUGUGGAAAGUUUUUCGGUGUGGGAUGAGCUCGCGGGCUAUCAGCUUGUUGGUGGGGUAAUGGCCUACCAAGGCGUCGCCGGGUAGCCGGCCUGAGAGGGUGUACGGCCACAGUGGGACUGAGAUACGGGCGGGACUCCUACGGGAGGCAGCAGUAGGGAAUAUUGCACAAUGGACGCAAGCCUGAUGCAGCAACGCCGCGUGGGGGAUGACGGCCUGCUUGUUGUAGACUCCUUUCGCUAGGAACGCAGCGCAAGUGACGGUACCUGAAGAAGAAGCACCGGCUAACUACGUG
This 465-nucleotide ribosomal RNA is filed under the name uncultured bacterium. RNAcentral's name for it is "partial 16S ribosomal RNA". It matches the Rfam family "Bacterial small subunit ribosomal RNA", at positions 28 to 507 of the family's 1533-position model. The record is from RNAcentral.